RNAcentral lists this ribosomal RNA (439 nucleotides) under uncultured bacterium. RNAcentral describes it as "partial 16S ribosomal RNA". It matches the Rfam family "Bacterial small subunit ribosomal RNA", at positions 339 to 795 of the family's 1533-position model. The record is from RNAcentral.
CUACGGGAGGCUGCAGUGGGGAAUCUUGCGCAAUGGAGGAAACUCUGACGCAGCCAUGCCGCGUGAGUGAAGAAGGCCUUAGGGUUGUAAAGCUCUUUCAGUGGGAAAGAUAAUGACGGUACCCACAGAAGAAGCCCCGGCUAACUCCGUGCCAGCAGCCGCGGUAAUACGGAGGGGGCUAGCGUUAUUCGGAAUUACUGGGCGUAAAGCGCGCGUAGGCGGCUCAUAAAGUCAGAGGUGAAAGCCCAGGGCUUAACCCUGGAACUGCCUUUGAAACUUAUGGGCUCGAGUCUGUUAGAGGAUGAUGGAAUUCCUAGUGUAGCGGUGAAAUGCGUAGAUAUUAGGAGGAACACCAGUGGCGAAGGCGAUCAUCUGGGACAGUACUGACGCUAAGGUGCGAAAGCGUGGGGAGCAAACAGGAUUAGAUACCCUGGUAGUC